RNAcentral lists this ribosomal RNA (492 nucleotides) under uncultured bacterium. RNAcentral's name for it is "partial 16S ribosomal RNA". It matches the Rfam family "Bacterial small subunit ribosomal RNA", at positions 29 to 507 of the family's 1533-position model. The record is from RNAcentral.
AGUGAACGCUGGCGGUAGGCCUAACACAUGCAAGUCGAACGGCAGCACAGUAAGAGCUUGCUCUUACGGGUGGCGAGUGGCGGACGGGUGAGGAAUACAUCGGAAUCUACUUUUUCGUGGGGGAUAACGUAGGGAAACUUACGCUAAUACCGCAUACGACCUACGGGUGAAAGCAGGGGAUCUUCGGACCUUGCGCGAUUGAAUGAGCCGAUGUCGGAUUAGCUAGUUGGCGGGGUAAAGGCCCACCAAGGCGACGAUCCGUAGCUGGUCUGAGAGGAUGAUCAGCCACACUGGAACUGAGACACGGUCCAGACUCCUACGGGAGGCAGCAGUGGGGAAUAUUGGACAAUGGGCGCAAGCCUGAUCCAGCCAUACCGCGUGGGUGAAGAAGGCCUUCGGGUUGUAAAGCCCUUUUGUUGGGAAAGAAAAGCAGCAGGUUAAUACCCCGCUGUUCUGACGGUACCCAAAGAAUAAGCAUCGACUAACUUCGUG